This 486-nucleotide ribosomal RNA is filed under the name uncultured bacterium. RNAcentral describes it as "partial 16S ribosomal RNA". It matches the Rfam family "Bacterial small subunit ribosomal RNA", at positions 30 to 507 of the family's 1533-position model. The record is from RNAcentral.
AUUGAGCGCUGGCGGCAUGCCUUACACAUGCAAGUCGAACGGCAGCACGGGUGCUUGCCCCUGGUGGCGAGUGGCGAACGGGUGAGUAAUACAUCGGAACAUGUCCUGUAGUGGGGGAUAGCCCGGCGAAAGCCGGAUUAAUACCGCAUACGAUCUACGGAUGAAAGCGGGGGACCUUCGGGCCUCGCGCUAUAGGGUUGGCCGAUGGCUGAUUAGCUAGUUGGUGGGGUAAAGGCCUACCAAGGCGACGAUCAGUAGCUGGUCUGAGAGGACGACCAGCCACACUGGGACUGAGACACGGCCCAGACUCCUACGGGAGGCAGCAGUGGGGAAUUUUGGACAAUGGGCGAAAGCCUGAUCCAGCAAUGCCGCGUGUGUGAAGAAGGCCUUCGGGUUGUAAAGCACUUUUGUCCGGAAAGAAAUCCUUGGCCCUAAUACGGUCGGGGGAUGACGGUACCGGAAGAAUAAGCACCGGCUAACUACGUG